RNAcentral lists this long non-coding RNA (835 nucleotides) under Capsicum annuum. Its description in RNAcentral is "long non-coding RNA (CANN_LNC005638)". The record is from RNAcentral. Lineage: Eukaryota; Viridiplantae; Streptophyta; Magnoliopsida; Solanales; Solanaceae.
GUAACAAUUUUUCCUAUUCAUUUUACUCUCAUUCUUAUAUCACCUAAUUUCGUUUACUUAAUUAAUAUAACAAAAUUACAAUCUAUUUUUAAAAAAAAUGAUUUAAUUAAAUCAUAACCUCACUCACUGUGAACAAGAAAUAAUCAACUGUAAUAUUUAAAUAAACAUCAGUAAGUACAAAGGCCUUGUUAAUACGACUAUUUUCUCGCGGGUUAGAUCGGAGGGAUGAUUGGAUGGCGGUUUGUGGUUGGUCGGCGGCUAGCUGGUUCUUUGGAGCCUCCAGGUGGCUCCCUUGUUAGGGUGGCCCUAAUCGAUGGUGGUUAAACCAGUGAGGAGAGCAAGAGAGCGGGGAGAAGGGGGUUCGCCGGCAACGAGAAAGGGGAAAAAAAGGGAUAGCACCAGCGACAGAAAAGGGAAAAAGGAGAAAUUUCCGGUGAUUUUCUAUCGGAUUUGGUGUAAAAAGGGGACGGGGAAUGGUGGCUUGGCUAGUUUUAGGUUUCGUGGCCGCUGAAAAGGGGUUUGCCGAUGGUGAUAGCUAUUAGACACCGGGAAAAAGGGAGAGGGGAGAAGGCACAGACGAGUUUUGGGGGUGAUGCACAAUUGGAUUUAGGAGAGGGCCAGUAGCCUUUUGCUAGUAUUUCCCGCGAUUCGGGUCAGUUUGGUUGUUGAAGAAGCUGACAAUUCCGUCGAAAGUUCGUCGAAAAAUCUCAACAAUGCCCCUUUUCUCUUUGAUUUUUCACUGUUUUCCCUUUCCUCUUUCAUUAAUUUUCUUUCUUCUUCUCUCUUCCCUCUCUCCAUUUUUCUACUGAAUUUUUUGUUCAAUAGUGUGUGUACG